UGUUGUUGGGUUAGGGUUAGAAAUGGGCCUAGGUAGUUUGGUUUUGUAUUUGGUUUUAAAAUUUGGGCUGGUUUGGUUUGUAUGGGUUUGGGUAUUGUAUUAUUGGGCUGAUUUGGUUUGUAAAAUGGACUUUUAUUUGGUUAUUUGGAUUUUAUUUUUUAUUUAUUUGCCUAGGCCAAAAAUUGGCCAUUACAGCUGCCCCUCUUUACUCAUUGUCAUAUAACGAGAAUGGAGCAAAGACUCCAAAAUGGCCAAUUUUGCCUAGUCUCGCCGAAUCUUAACUUCUUUGAUAGUCUCGUUCCAGUCCACUAAAACUUCAGGGAGAUAAGAUUCGCCAUGAUAAAUUUGAUCCGACCUACUGCAACUUCAGAGGUAUAGGACCAGUAACUCAUAGCUUUAAUUCGUUCCACUGCAACUUCAGGGAAAUAAGAUUCACUAACUUUAGUCUGCUCCACUGCAACUUCAGGGAAAUAAGACUUGUAAUUUCAACCUGCUCCACUGCAUCUUCAGGGAGUGAGGUUUGUGACUUUAAUCUACUCCACUGUAACUUCAGGGAGAUGAGAUUCGCCAUGGUAACUUGAUUCAACCUACUGCAACUUCAGAGGUAUAAGAUUUAUAGCUUUAAUAUACUCUACUGCAACUUCAGAGAGAUAAGAUUUGCUAUAUUGAGUCUGCUCCACUGCAACUUUAGGGAGAUAAGACUCUGUGACUUUAAUCUGCUCCACUGUAACUUCAGGGAGAUGAGAUUCGCCAUGGUAACUUGAUCCAACCUACUGCAACUUCAGAGGUAUAGGAUUUAUAGCUUUAAUUUGCUCUACUGUAACUUCAGAGAGAUAAGAUUUGCUAUAUUGAGUCUGCUCUAUAUUGAGUCUGCUCCACUGCAACUUCAGAGAGAUAAGACUCUGUAAUCUGUAGCUUUGAUCUACUCUACUGUAACUUUAGAGAGAUAAGAUUCGUGACUUCAAUCUGCUCCACUACAACUUCAGGGAGACAAGAUUCGCCACUUCAAUCUACUCCACUAAAACUUCAGGGAGACAAAAUUCGUCAUGGUGAUUUCAAUCCGUCCCACUGCAUCUUCAGGGAUGUAGAAUUUUGAUUUUUUUUGGUCUGUUACACCAUUCUUGGAGAACAUGACCUAUUGAAUCUAUUUCAUGGGCCUAUUUAUGCCAAAUGAUUAGAAUGUCAUGAUCAGAAUGAAUCAAAUGCUCCUAGCUAAAUGUGUAUAAAUGAUGUUUGCAUGAAUACAAAAAUGUCAUUUUUUAAUGCUUAAUUUGAUAUCACUUGUCAUUCAUCGAGGCUUUAUCAUUGACAUAUUACUCUAUCUUUUUCUUCAACUGGUAUCUUUGGCAGAAAACCCGAAGAAAUAAUCACAAUUUGGGCUAUUCUUUCCCCAACGUUUCCAACCUUUGAAUACAGGGUGAUUCAAACUAAUUAAUCAUGUUUCAGGUCCUUGUAUCAUUUAGAAGCAUUUCAGAGUAAUAUACAGAACUCUUUUUUUGAAUAUUAUUAGUCCAUUAAUCAUCAUUUCAACGAAAAACGCUUGAAAAAGAUUAUCGCAUUAGACAAAAUGGAAUUUUAUUGAGAGCAAAGCUCAAAAUGAAUAGGGUAAUCGAGAUAGCAAAUUUACUAAGAUACAAAAUGAGAAUUAAUAAAUUAAUCAAGAUAGCAUAUUCUGCCAAAAAAUACAAAAUGAAUGAGAUAAGAAUAAGUGCUCCAGAUAUCGUAGUAUGAGCUUCGUAACACAAAUCCUCUUGAGGAACUUUUAAAACUUGGUAUGUGUUUGGAUGACCAAGGCUACUUUGUUGAUGCCCCAAUAUGUAGCAUCCCUCCUUCUUGUUAAUUCAGAGAAGACAAGACUACCGCAUGUCCCAUCUUCGAUCAAAAUUUGAAUUGCCCAUUCCUGGGUUUUCAAUUCAACCCCUUUGGUUUCAAAGCGCCCUUUUACGGGUUUUCGCCUUGGCCUCUCUAUUUUUUUUUAGGUAAAGUACCUCUUGGCCGAAUCUGAAUUCACAGGAUUAGGCAGGCUUUUGCCAUCCAUCUCGGCCAAAAUCAGGGCUCCUCCAGAGAAAGCCUUUUUUACCACAUAAGGUCCCUCCCAAUUUGGCAUCCAUUUCUCUCUGAAGUCCUUUUGUAUGGGGAGGAUCUUUUUCAAAACAAAGUCUCCCUAUGGAAUUCUCUAGGGCGAACCUUCUUAUUAUAAGCCCGCAUCAUUCUCUUUUGGUACAUUUGACCAUGACGGAUAGCUUUUAGUCUCUUUUCUUCAAUUAAGUUCAGCUGAUCAUAUCGAGACUGGACCCAUUCUGCCUCAUCUAACUUUAGUUCUGAAAGCACACGUAAAGAGGGAAUCUCGACCUCAAUAGGCAGAACUGCCUCCAUUCCAUAAACUAAAGAGAAAGGUGUCGCCUCGGUAGAGGUUCUGACUGACGUUCGGUAGGCAUAAAGGGCAAAUGGUAAUUUCUAGUGCCAAUCUUUAUAGGUCUCGGUCAUUUUUCCUAUGAUCUUCUUGAUGUUCUUAUUGGCCACUUCCACUGCAACAUUCAUCUUUGGGCGAUACGGUGACGAGUUAUGAUGUUUGAUCUUGAAUUGGCUACAGACUGCCACUAUCGUGAUAUUGUUCAAGUUCAGUGCACUGUCUGAUAUGAUCCUUUCAGGCAUCCCAUAUCGACAUAUGAUUUCUUUCUUUAAGAACUUGUUGACUACUGACUUUGUGACGUUGGCGUAAGAAGUAGCCUCUACCUACUUGGUGAAGUAAUCUAUAACUACAAAGAUAAAUCGAUGUCCAUUAGAUGCUUUCGGCGAUAUCGGUCCUAUGACAUCCAUGCCCCACAUGGAGAAAGGCCAUAGAGAAGUCAUGACAUGAAGGGGUGAAGGAGGUACAUGAAUUUUAUCUCCAUAAAUUUGGCAUUUAUGGCACUUCUUGGCAUAGUUGAUACAAUCUCCUUCCAUAGUGGACCAAUAAUAUCCUAAUCUCAUGAUCUGUCUGGCCAUUGUGAAACCAUUAGCGUGCGUUCUGCAAACACCCUCAUGAACCUCUUCCAAGAUUUGCUUAGCCUCAACAACAUCCACACAUCUUAGGAGUACCUGAUCCUUCCUUCUUUUAUAUAGGAUCUCUCCAUCUAAUACAUAGUCACUGGCCAACCUUCUUAAUAUCCUUUUAUCAUUUUCGGUCGUUUGGUCUGGGUAUUCACUAUUCCUCACAUAUCGCAAAAUAUCUUGAUACCAAAGACGAUCAUCUUUUUCUUCUUCUUCGUCGAUGUUGCAGCAAUGAGCGGAGCCUCAUAAAUACUCAUUUAGAUGGGCUUUAUAUCCUCUUGCUUGUUCACUUUAAUCAUAGAAGCUAAGGUUGCUAAGGCAUCAGCCAUCUGAUUUUCAUCUCGUGGGAGGUAGCAGAAAGUGAUAUCAUCAAAAUCCUUAAUUAACUCAAGAACCAGCCUUCAGUGAUUGAUCAACUUGGGGUCUCUUGUCUUCCAUUCACCUUUAAGCUGAUAGAUCACUAAUGCAGAAUCUCUGUAUACUUCUAAUACCUUGAUCUAGCGUUCUAUGCAUAGCUGCACGGAUGCCCAUGAUGCAUGCCUUGUAUUCCGCCAUGUUAUUUGUGCAGUCAAAAUCCAAUUUACUAGUGAAAGGAUAAUGAUCUCCAUUUUGGGAAACCAAAACUGCCCUGAUUCUGUUACCCACAAUAUUUGAAGCUCCGUUAAAAUUUAGCUUCCAAGGAUGGCCUUCUUGAGAGUCUUCUUCCAUGGUCGCAAUAUACAUUAGAUUCUCAUUCGAAAAAUCAAACCUCAACGACUCAUAAUCUUCUAGAGCUCUACUGGCCAGAAAUUCUACUAUUGCAUUCCCCUUUACAACUUUUUGGUUUACGUAGACUAUAUCAAACUCAGAAAGAAAAAUUUUCCAACGAGCCAUCCUUUCGUUCAAAGCAUUUGACUCCAUCAUGUACUUCAGAGGGUCUACUUUUGAGAUGAGCCAAGUCGCGUGGUAUAACAUGUAUUGUCUCAGUCUUCGGGUUGUCCAAAUCAAAGCACAACACAACUUUUCGAUUGAUGAAUAUCUCAUCCCACAUUCUGUGAAUUUCUUGCUGAGAUAGUAUAUCGCUUUUUCUUUUCUUCCCGACUCGUCAUGUUGGCCUAGCACACAUCCCAUGGAGUUUUUGAACACUGCCAAGUACAGUAUCAAUGGUUUAUCCGGGCAAAGUGGCAUCAAUACUGGGGCAUUGGACAAAUAAUGCUUGACUUUAUCAAAAGUUUUCUAGAACUCCUCAUCCCAAACACCUGGGUUAUGCUUCCUAAGGAGACGGAAUAUCGGGUCACAUUUCUUCGUUAGUUGUGAGAUGAACCAAGCGAUGUAAUUCAGUCUUCCUAGGAAACCUUGAACUUAUUUUUGAGUGCGUGGCGGAGGUAAUUCUUGUAUGGCCCUGACUUUAUCUGGGUCAAUCUCAAUCCCCUUUUCACUGACUACGAAUCCUAACAGUUUUCCUAACCGGGCCCCAAAGGUACACUUUACGGGAUUAAGCUUUAGCUGGAACUUCCUCAACCUUAAAAAUAAUUUCCUCAGGACUUGCACAUGCUCCUUUUCUAUUUUGGAUUUUGCAAUCAUGUCGUCAACGUAAAAUUCGAUCUCCUUGUGCAUCAUGUCAUGGAACAAAGUUACCAUGGCUAUCUGAUAUGUUGCUCCUGCAUUUUUUAGUCUGAAUGGCAUCACCUUAUAACAAAACGUUCCCCACAUGGUUACAAAUGUCUUUUUUUCCAUGUCUUCAGGAUGCAUUUUUAUCUGGUUGUAUCUCGAGAAGCCGUCCAUGAAGGAGAAAAGUGAGUAAUCUGUCGUGUUAUCUACUAGUGUAUCAAUGUGAGGCAAUGGGAAAUUGUCUUUUGGGCUGGCUUUGUUCAAAUCCCGAUAGUCCACGCACAUUCGUACCUUCCCAUCUUUCUUAGGAACUGGGACUAUGUUGGCUACCCAUUCUGAGUACUUGACCACUUGUAGGAAACCGGCGUCGAAUUACUUCUUGACCUCUUCCUUUAUCUUCAACAAAACAUCAGGUCUCAUCCUUCAGAGUUUCUGUUGAAUCGGCCUGCAUUCUUCUUUUAUGGGGAGUCGAUGUACCACGAUAUCAAUGUUUAAACCGGGCAUGUCUUAAUAUGACCAUGCGAAACCAUUUUUGAAUUCUCGGAGUAACUCGAUGAGGUUUCGCUUUGUUUUUGCAGUGAUACUAGCUCCAAUCUUCACCUCUUUUCCUUCUCCUAAGCUACCAAUUUCCACCGACUCUUUGUAAGGUAGAAUUUGUUUCUCCUCUUGUUCUACCAUCCUUAACAAAUCAAGAGAUAGGUUACAAUUUUGGUCAUCCUCAAAAUCCUUAGUGUCAUCCAUACAAAAAUCUUGCUCGAAAGGAGUCUCUGAGUUAGUGGCAACGUUACUCAUAUCAUUGAUAUCUGGAGACCUGUUAUGGAUGAAGAAAAAAAUCCAAAGAACAAAAGAAUCUAAGAAUAUUUGAUUUGUGUGGUAUGAUUAUGAAUGAAGUAGAAAGAAUAAAAGAAUAUUUGCUUAAGAUGAUACGCACAAAUGUAUUUUUUAUUGAAAUAACGAUAUUUAGACAUAUGCCUAUUUCAUAAAAGAAUUCUUAUUGCCCCUAGGCUUAGAGCAAUAAGCUUAUUUUGAACAUUACUCUGAGUUAAUCCUAAAAGUUACAGGGAUCUCCUCCGCGGUCCAAUUGCUCAAAACACUUCCAAGGAUGUAAAGGCGAAUUCCAGAUAAAUUCUCUUCAGUUUUCCCUUCGGAUAUGACAUUAAUGCUCAACUGUUUAACAUUUCUUCGGAAGACUCUUUCCUUGUCGAUCUUCUUUUGGAGUAAAUAGUCCUUCCUAACACGAAUGUUCUAGAUAAAUGAGGAAAGGUCAUCAGCUCCCAUUUGACCUCCUCACCACGCAGACGCGCUCUUCUCAUCUCUUGCCUUUUCUCCAGCUCUUUCUUCUUUUGCUUCACAUCUGGCUUAAAUCUUAAGCCAAGGCGGUCUCAUUUUUCCCUUAACACUAGUACCUCUAUCCUUCCUUGGAGGCAUCUUCCAAGUCCUCUUCCUGGCAGGGCUCAUUUUUCGACCGUUAAUCGUAGGCCCGUUCUCGUAGUUUUGGAUAUUUUUGGCAUUGGAAUCUUGUUCCUUUCGACAAUAAAUGUAGCAUUGACAAAUUCUAGUGAUCGAAAGGAACACUCUAUCGCCUCAUCGUCCGUACCCAUGUAUAGUGCGUUACUGGUAACAGAUGCAAUGAUGUCUUCCUCCGUAUUUAUCGUUACCAGCCUAUCCUCAGUUACCAACUUCAACUUUUGGUGUAGUGACGACGGCACUGCCCCCGCCGAGUGAAUUCAUGGCCUCCCCAACGGGAAAUUAUACGAAGGCUUGAUAUCCAUUACCAAGAAGUCCACCUCGUAUGUAUUUGGGACAAUCAAGAGAGGUAUCUCGAUUCUUCCCAUCACUUUUCUUUCAGUACCGUCAAAUGCUCUUACUAUGUUUUGACAUGUCUUCAUGUUAGAGCUGUCCACUGGCAAUCUAUUUAAUGUGGAUAAGGGCAGGAUAUUCAACGCUAAUCCAUUAUCAAUCAGUGCCCCCAGAAACGUGUGUCAUUUGCAACGAGUGGUGAUAUGCAGGGCCUUUGUAGAUCUCAUACCUUCCGGUGGUAUUUCAUCAUCAUUAAAGAAAAUAAAAUUAUCAGCACUGAUGUUAUUGACCAGACGAUCGAGUUUGUUAACAGAGAUAUCAUCCGCAACAUAUGUUUCAUUUAACACUUUCAUCAAUGCACUGCGGUAUGUCUCUGAGCUUAAGAGCAAGGCUAGUACCGAUAUGUGAGCUGGCUGUUUGUGCAAUUGUUCCACAACGCUAUGCUCGCUGUGCUUCAAGAAUUUUAAGAAUUCCUUAGCCUCUUUUUCAGUCACAGGCUCAUUGACAGGUGAUUCUGGUCUGGUUAUCUUUUCCCUCCUUUGUUCAACAACCACGGAUUUUCCUUUAACUGAUUCUGCUUUUGUAUUCGGGGUAUAAUGCCUUCCACUUCGUGUAUAGAAACCUUCAUCUUGACCUUCCUCUGAAGUGCCAACCGGGUUCUCUUUUUCCGGGAUUGUCACGUUACAGUCAUAGUUCCAAUGCACACUCUUGCUAUCUUUAUAAGGGAAAGCAACGGGCUUUUAGAUUAUGACCUUUGGCACAGUCGGUACUCCCACUUCACUGAUUCUUGGUCGUGAUAUGAUUACCACUGGGCGAUUGCCCCCGGGGACUUUAUUGGUUUACCCUCCUUCUAAAGUGCGUACAUCUUCUCCUUCCAGGCUCUCAAUAUACUCAAAGAAUCCAAUCUCUUUAUUUUCCAUCAAUUUCUGUACCAGUGCCUUAAAUUCAUUGCACUUUUGGAUCUCAUGCCCCUCCUCGUCGUGGAAUUCACAGUAGUACUUUGCUCCUUCGGGCUUUUCCCCUAAAUCUUGUGUAACUAAACCUUUUUCCACCAUUUUCUUCCAAACCAAUCUCAACGGAGUCUUCACCUCUGCUACGUCUAUCUUGGCUCUUUUCUUUCCAUUUUCAAUUAUCGCGUUUAUCGCUUUGUCUGAAUGAUUGGGUAACGGAUUCCCUACCACAUUAGGUCCUGUGGGAUCAUCGAACUUCACAAUGCCCAUCUUUAUGAACCUUUCAACUAAUUUUUUGAAAGCAGUGCAGUUCUCAAUCAUGUGUCCCGAGAUUCUUGCAUGGUAUUCGCAUUGCGCGUUUGCGUCAUACCACUUGGAAAAUAGAGGUUGCAUGGGUUUUAGGUAAAAUGGGGACACAAUAUGUGCAUCGAAUAGAUUCUGGUAAAGCUCCCUAUACGUUAUUAGGAUUGGUGUAAACUGAACUCUUUCUGUGUUAGGCCUCAGGUUGGAGUCUUGUCUUGCGGAGCCCUAAUGGUUAGUAGUUACUACCCUCGGCUGGCUCACUGUGACUCGCUUAGAAUAACCUUUAUUGUAUACGCUCGCAUUGUUCAUCUCGUUUUCUUUCCUUCUUGGAGCCGAUCUCUUGGCACUUUCCCCUACUUCAAUAUUCCCACAUCUUACCCCGUUUUCUAUCAUCUCCCCAAACAACACUAUGUCCGAGAAGCUCUUAGUAGCGCUUCCCAACAUAUGGUUAAUGAAUGAGGCCUUCAAGGUAUUGAUAAAAAGCAUGGUUUUUCUUUUUCCAAGAGAGGUGGUUGGACUUGCAUCGCUAUCUCCCUCCAUCGUUGGGCAUACUGCCUGAAGCUCUCACUUGGCUUCUUUUCCAUAUUUUGUAAUGUAAUUCUGUCGGGUGCUAUGUUUGUCACGUGACCGUAUUGUCUCAUGAAAGCUUGAACCAAGUCCUUCCACAAACCAAUUUGAGUACGACUUAGCUGGUUAUACCACUUGGCCGUUGACCCGAUCAGACUGUCUUGGAAACAGUGAAUUAAUAGCUUAUCAUUAUUAGCAUAUCCUGUCAUUUUUCGACAGAACAUCGUUAUGUGAGCUUCAGGGCAGCUAGUCCCAUUGUACUUUUCAAACUCAGGGGUUUUAAAUUUUGGUGGGAGCACCAGAUUUGGGACCAAGCUUAAGUCCUUAGUAUCGAUCCCGCUACGAUAAUUAGCAAUCUGCAUUGCUUUAAAUUUCUCUUCAAGCCAUUUACACCGGUCAUCAAGUUGUUUUGCCAGUUCUACUUUUCAUUUCUCCAUUUCUGCCAUAUCAUCAAGGUCCGGGACAAAUGGAUUAGCUGGAUUAUCUUUGGGAUUAGAGCCCGAACCUGUAGGAACAUUCAUCAAUAUCGAGGCACCGGCCUAGUACUGCUGGGGCCUAAUAGUGACAGGUACCGUUCAUGGGUGCUCCUCCGGUUGUGGUUGAGUGUUUACCAGAGCAAAGCUUGGAGGAUAGAUAGGGUCUUCAUUAUCGUUCCCUGAAUUGAUCGCAUUGCUCUUCCCUUUUUCACGUUCUUUUGUUAGCAACUGUGCCAACUGACUUAUCAUGUUAUUCUGGGAUUCUUGCAUUUGUUCCCUCAUGUCGUGUUAGAUUCUUGCUAAUUGCUCUUGCAUUUUUGCUUGUAAUUGCUCUUGCAUAUCCCUUUGUAUUUGUUCUAGUCUUUCUAAUCUCUGUCCAUUAUUUUAGUUUUACGAUGGGUAUUGUAGCUGUGUUUGGUUGGUUGAUUCUUGUUGGUUUCCAGAUUAACUGAAAUAAUUUUGUUUAAUCAGGGUCUUUUCAUGAAAUUUAAUGCAUAUGAUGAAAUGUAAUGAAAAUGAAUGAAUGCAAAAAGAGGCGUUGAUUCCGAUUCAAUUUCAUUAAAAGAACUUUACUAGAAGAAAUUUUUUUUACAUAGAACGAAUGAUUACAUAUACGACUUUGCCCUAAUGCCCAAAGCCUUAACCUUCCUAAGAAGCCAAGCUAAGCUUCAGCCUCGAUCUGAUUCUGACUCGUACUUUAAGCUAAUACAUCAGCUUGAACUGCCACGGUUUGCAAGUGAUCGGCUACCUCCCGAACCUGAGCCACAGCUUCACCUAUGACAUAGUCUCUAUCUCUAAUCUGGUCUUGAGAACGGUGAAGCUGUUCCCUGCAAUGGUCGUUGUUUGCCUCAAGAAGUUCCACUCAAAUUUUGCUAUCUCGUAGUGCAGUCUCGAGUUCCUCUACUUUCCCUUUCAACUCUUCGAUCCUGCUCAGACUAGCCUUCAGCUCAAUUACGGAAUUACGGCUACGAUGUUGAUGUAGUGAUCUUUCCAAUUCAGCCACCCGAGCUCGUAAAUUCUCCUUUUCGUUUUGGCUUUCUAACAAACUCUUUUUCAGAGUGUCUUUUCGUACUCAGGCAUCUUGAAACCUUUUCUCCCAAUGGUUGGCUCUAGUCUUUUCCUCUUUAAUCUCUUGACGCCAUUGCUCCGACAUUUUACCUAAAUCGGCUAUUCUUAUCGACAUACGCAGCUUCUUGUAAUCAGUUUUCAGACUAUCCAAAUCUUCAUCGUCCUUGUUCUUUUCGUUCUUCAAUUUCUCGGCCUCUAGCUUGUGGAUAUCGACGUCUAAUCCCAACUUUAUUUCUCUUCUUCUAGUUGCUCUCUCUUCUUCCCCAACUUCGAGUUCCUUUUCUCGAAGUCUUACUUAAUGAUCUUUAACUCGGAUGGGAUGACUGGUAAAUGCUCCUCUAUUGGUUGAGUGUUCCCUUGAUUCGGCCUAGGGAUGUUGUCGUUGACUCUCUUACCCUACCACCAUUCAUACUCAGGGGUCGUCAUCGAACCCGUGGUGAAUCCUUUCAUUCUUCGAGUUCGGUUCCAAGCAUCUAAUAACUCACGAACCUUCCUCUUAUAAUUGUUGUCUUUAUAGGGAAACUCACAUUGUGCCAACCCUUGUGCCACUGGUAUAAAUUGCCUUGAUCGAUACUGCCUGAACACCAUCAGUGGAGCGUAUCUAACGGCUUACUAUAUUCUAGCCAGAGGGACCCAGUCAAAAUCACCGCACUGAUAUAAGAUCUUGUCAAGGAUCAACCACGGAGCCCUCCAUUCAACAUCUUCGGCUCACAAAUUCUGGAGAAUAUUUAUCCAUUUCUCUUCUGAGAUGUCGUCUCGCCUCGCUGUGGCCAUUAAUUCCCUUAGUGGGGAAUAGUCCUUGGAGAAAACCCGAUAGGAGACCUUUUCCACCUUCCAAAAAUGGCUAUGGAACCAAGCUAAUAGAAGCUGUGCACAACCAAUAAAUCUUUCUUCGCCCACUCUCCGACAUGCAUUCAAGGAUCUGAAAGUUUCUGCUAGGAUUUCCGAGACCGGUGUGGUACCUUUAUCAAGUCGAUCGAAUAAAUCUGAGACAGCUUCAUCUAUGUGUCCUAGCGCUUUAGGAAAGAUGAUCAAACCGUAGAGGCUUAAGGUAAAAACGUCAACCCUUUUCUUCGAAUCCGAGUGUGCAAGGAUCAAGUCCCUCAAAUUUCUCCAAGGAAUACACUUAAUAUCCCCUUUUUGCUUGAUGCGAGCAGCAACUCAUUGCUCGCUCAUCCCCGUGAUAUUCAUCAAUUUCUUCGAAAAGGGAGGGAUGUUGACAGGUCUUGAAUAGGCCCUGUCGGCCUGAAUCUUUGGGCAAUUAAGUAACGCCAUGUAUUCCUCUACAGUAGGUACUAAAUCGACUCUUCCGAAGGUGAAGCAACUGUAAGCGGGGUUCCAAAACUGCGCGAGGGCCCGGAACAAGUACUUGUCCAAUUUUACGUCGAGCAAAUAGGGUAGGUCACCGUAGUUACAGUAAAAAAGUUACUUGACCUCGCUAUUCCAACUAUUCCAUAUAUCCCUUAAUUCUUGCAGGUCGUUCUGAGUCACACUGAUGCGAGUGAAAUCUCACAACUCCGAUUCAUAUCCCUCGAUCAAACUAUCUCAUUUCUCUUGUUGCAUUCUCUUGGACCACACUCGGACGGCCGCAUUAUCCUCCACUCUAUCAAGAAAUCAUUUUUCCAUGCUAAGCUUUUCUAUCUAGUAACCGAACGUGAAUCAACAUAUUUUUAUGAUGAGAUGUCAUGCAAUAACAACAAAACACAACAAGUCAGUAUUAAAACAAAGAAUAAAACUCAAAGCAAACAGGAAAUAAUUAAGCACCUAUUCGGGUAACCACUAAGGUUUGGUGUGGUUCUACCUAGGGUAGGCUCUUAAAGCUCAUUACAUGUGGUUCGGUUCUAAAGUAAAGGUACCUGAACCGGCAGAUUCCUCGAUCCUUACCCAUUAUAGGCUCAUACGGACCGAGUUCAAUUCAGGGGAAUGCAUUUCCCUAGGACUAUACGGAGAUAAAAACCUCACGAAGACGUAGGUACGGAUGUAUCCCGAAAGCGACCCACUAUCCUAUACGGAGGUGAAGACCUCACGAAGGAGUAGUUUCUUACUCCCACUUAAAGGGGUAAAAUUGACCAAUUAUGCAGUAUGAUGUGCAAAAGUAUACUUAAAAGAGUCAAACAAAAAGCCAAUCAUAUAAAGAGACAAAAACCACACAGAGGAAAUGCACAAAAAUGAUGCAAUGAAAUGAUCGUGAGUUUAAAACGAAUUUUUAAUUUUCGACGAAGGACAAAAACUAAUCAAUUUAUGGCUCGACUCUCCAUAUUCCCCAGUGGAGUCGCCAAGCUGUUGAAACCAUUUUGUUUGAAAACGGGAAACGACUUUGUUCGAAAGUGAAAAUUAAAACGGAAGUCGCCACCGAUCUUUAUUAGGUGUGAUCGGAUCACCUUUGUUUUAAUAAAACAUUUUAGUUUACUAAAACGGUGUUUUUGGUCUACGAAACUCUAGAGAAAAGGAUUCAGGAGUCGGUUACAUGUGAGGAAGGAUUAGCACCUCCGACACGCCCAAAAAUUGGUGUCGAAUUGAUUAGUUGGUGUCUUAAUGUCAAAAGUUAAAAAAUGGGGAAUGGAUUUGAAAUACGAUCCUUUUUUAUUAACAUUGAUCUUAAAAAUACUUGAAUUAGCUCAAAACGAUUGUUAAAGAUUUUCUUAUCUCGAGAUAUCGGAGUAUCACAUCCCGUAAGUUAGGACACAAUACCUUGAACUCCCGAGCGCAAAGUCAUCUUUAAUUUUAAUUAGAAUUUUGGGUAUUUUGAAACUCAAAGGGGUAUUUGGCUAUUUAGAAUCAACGAGAAAAUCUAAACCCCGUAAGUUAAGGCACAAUUCCUCGACGUUCCAAAACGCGAAACAUUGCCUUAUUUUGAAAUUUUUACUUUUGAAUAAUAGCGAGUACAAUAUUUAAACGACGCGCGUUAUUUGUUUGGAUUAAAAUUAAAUGAUUAAUUGGAUAAACGCAACGAGGUUUGAUUCAUGAGGCGAUGAUAUGAAAUAGAAAUAUAGUAAUAAGCCUAGAGCAAUGAUACAUGAAUACAACAUUAUACGAAUGAAUAACAAUAAUGCAAAAAUAUGAAAUGGGCGAAUUGAAAUACACAAUGGCGACAAUCACACAACAUACAUUUUUUAAAUACUAAUCAUUAAUAAUAAAGAAAUGAAAUAAAUAAUAUAGACGAUUUAGAAUAAAUAAUAAGACAAUUCUAAACAAAUAAUACAUAAAAAAACAAGUUUAAAAUAGGUAUUACGAAAGCAAUUUUUAAAUAAGUAAAAACAAUAUACAAAGCAAUUUAGAAUAAAAUAAUAUAUAGACAAUCUAAAAAAACUAAUUUUAAAAAAAAUCUAAAAUGACAUAUAAAAGUUUAAACUAAAUAAUAUAAAAAAGAAAUUUAGAAUACAUAAUAUAUAAAAAAUAUAUAAUAGUUUAAAAAAUAAUAAUGUAAAAGAAAUUUAAAGUAAAUAACAUAUAAAAUAAUUUGAACAGAGUAAUAUAUAUAAAACCUUAAAAUAAAUAUGCAUAAUAGUUUAAAGUAAACAAUAUAUAUAUAAUUUAAAAUGAAUGAUGAUUCAAAAAAUGUAAAAAGAAAACUUAAUAUACAUAAUAAUAAAAUGACUUUUAAAAUGAAUAAUGUAAGACUACAAACUUAAAAUAAAUAAUAAAAAAUAGUUCAAAAAAAAUUGAAUAAAUUAAUUAAUUAAUUAAUAGACUAGGACUAGGCUGAAAUUAAAUAGAAACUUAGGGGUAAAAAUUAUAAAUAAAAAAAGGCAUUAAGGACCAAAGUGAAGCGCGCAUAAAAAAACGAAGGACUGAUUAGGAAAAUAUUCUCAGCCCUCUAUACGCAGCGUUUCAAAGGACUAAGGUGUAUCAAAAAUGAAAUUGUGUGGCUAAAAUCUAAAAAAUUAAAAGAAACAAACAAGGGUCUGAUUGCGGUGCACCCCAAAAGUGGAGGGACCACGCGCGAAAUAAACCCCAAAAGGAUGAAACACGCGAAUCCCCUUAGUGGCGGGUCGGGUUGCACACGGGUGGUCCAAAACGUUGCCGUUUUGGAGCCUGGACACACCCAAAAACGGCGCCGUUCCAUGGGUUGUAUUUAAACCCAAUUUUUUUACAAAAUUCAUUUUCAGCCUUAGUUUUUUUAAAAACAAAGAGCUUCUUUGCUCUCUCUCUCUGUUCCCUUUUUCCUCUGGUCACCGAGGAUACGGUUCACCUCCGCACCGGCCACCAUAAGCAGUGGUCGGAGGUGCGAUAAUGGGCCCUUUAGCCCCUGUUUAAACGCGCCUAAAGGCCCCUCCCUUUUUUAGCCCCAAAGGGAUCGAAAAGAGAAGACCCCUCUCCCCUUUUUGGACUCGAGUCCGGCGAGAGAGAAGGAGGCUCUGAUGGCGUGACCACGAAGUAAAUCGGUAAGUUCCCUUUCCUUCUUUUUACUUUUAUCUAUUUUCGUAUAAAAAAUAAAUAAAUAAAUAGAAUAAAUGAACUCAGAACUUAAAACAAAAAUGGAAAUAAAAUCAACCUUUUUUGGUUUUUUGCUAUUUUGAUUGCUUAAUGAACGUAAAAAAAAUACAAAGGGAACGAAAAUGGCUUUUAUAGCCGAAUACAUGCUCGUUCUAUUUCUAUUCUUUGUCUGUUUCUUCGUUGUUUUUUCUUUUGUUUGCUAUCAUUUUUGUCCUCUUGUUCGUUGUUUCUUUUUGUUUGCGUGUGAAUCCUUCUUUGCAGGUGUCAGACAUGCGUGGUGGCCAGCGAUGGCGGUGGUGGCGCGCGUGGGGGGGGCUGAGCAGCGGCUGCAGUGCUAGGGUUCUUUGUUUUCUGAAAGUGUUGUUGGGUUAGGGUUAGAAAUGGACCUGAGUAGUUUGGGUUUGUAUUUGGUUUUAAAAUUUGGGCUGGUUUGGUUUGUAUGGGUUUGGGUAUUGUAUUAUUGGGCUGAUUUGGUUUGUAAAAUAGACUUUUAUUUGGUUAUUUAGAUUUUAUUUUUUGUUUAUUUGCCUAGGCCAAAAAUUGACCAUUACAUGUCUCAUAAAAUAUUCAGGCAUAAGACAUUUUUAAACAUUACCUAUUAAUCAAAUAUAAUUAUGUGCAUUACUAAUUCAAGUGCAAUCCACUAUAAUAUCUUUAAUCAUUUUCGAACAUCAAAGACAUUUCAUAGCAUACCUAAUCCGAAUGCUCAAAAACUAAUGUAAACCAAAUAUGCCUAGCCAUUUUAGCUCAUCACAAGACCAUGCG
Molecule: long non-coding RNA, 14989 nt
Filed under: Gossypium barbadense (sea-island cotton)
Lineage: Eukaryota; Viridiplantae; Streptophyta; Magnoliopsida; Malvales; Malvaceae
Description: long non-coding RNA (GBAR_LNC010839)
Source: RNAcentral